UACGUAGGGGGCAAGCGUUGUCCGGAAUCAUUGGGCGUAAAGCGCGUGUAGGAGGUUCGGUAAGUCGGCUGUGAAAGUCCAGGGCUCAACCCUGGGAUGCCGGUCGAUACUGCUUUGCUAGAGUGCAGAAGGGGCAAUCGGAAUUCUUGGUGUAGCGGUGAAAUGCGUAGAUAUCAAGAGGAACACCUGAGGUGAAGACGGGUUGCUGGGCUGACACUGACGCUGAGGCGCGAAAGCUAGGGGAGCAAACGGG
RNAcentral lists this ribosomal RNA (253 nucleotides) under uncultured bacterium. RNAcentral describes it as "partial 16S ribosomal RNA". It matches the Rfam family "Bacterial small subunit ribosomal RNA", at positions 524 to 776 of the family's 1533-position model. The record is from RNAcentral.